UACGUAGGGGGCAAGCGUUGUCCGGAUUUAUUGGGCGUAAAGAGCGUGUAGGCGGCCAUGUAGGUCCGUUGUGAAAACUCGAGGCUCAACCUCGAGACGCCGAUGGAAACCAUGUGGCUAGAGUCCGGAAGAGGAGAGUGGAAUUCCUGGUGUAGCGGUGGAAUGCGCAGAUAUCAGGAGGAACACCGGUGACGAAGGCGGGUCUCUGGGCAGUAACUGACGCUGAGGAGCGAAAGCGUGGGGAGCGAACAGG
RNAcentral lists this ribosomal RNA (253 nucleotides) under uncultured bacterium. Its description in RNAcentral is "partial 16S ribosomal RNA". It matches the Rfam family "Bacterial small subunit ribosomal RNA", at positions 524 to 776 of the family's 1533-position model. The record is from RNAcentral.